UACGUAGGGUGCGAGCGUUGUCCGGAAUUACUGGACGUAAAGAGCUCGUAGGUGGUUUGUCGCGUUGUCCGUGAAAACUCACAACUCAAUUGUGGGCGUGCGGGCGAUACGGGCAGACUGGAGUACUGCAGGGGAGACUGGAAUUCCUGGUGUAGCGGUGGAAUGCGCAGAUAUCAGGAGGAACAUCGGCGGCGAAGGCGGGUCUCUGGGCAGUAACUGACGCUGAGGAGCGAAAGCGUGGGGAGCGAACAGG
Molecule: ribosomal RNA, 253 nt
Filed under: uncultured bacterium
Lineage: Bacteria
Description: partial 16S ribosomal RNA
Rfam family: Bacterial small subunit ribosomal RNA
Source: RNAcentral